This 529-nucleotide ribosomal RNA is filed under the name Geotrichum pseudocandidum. RNAcentral's name for it is "Galactomyces pseudocandidus partial 26S ribosomal RNA". It matches the Rfam family "Eukaryotic large subunit ribosomal RNA", at positions 86 to 656 of the family's 3401-position model. Lineage: Eukaryota; Fungi; Ascomycota; Dipodascomycetes; Dipodascales; Dipodascaceae. The record is from RNAcentral.
ACGGCGAGUGAAGCGGCAAAAGCUCAAAUUUGAAAUCGGCCAUCAGGUCGAGUUGUAAUUUGUAGAUUGUACUUUGAGAGCGGAUUAAAGUCUGUUGGAACACAGCGCCUUAGAGGGUGACAGCCCCGUAAAAUCUAUUCUCAUUGUAAGGUACUUUCGAAGAGUCGAGUUGUUUGGGAAUGCAGCUCUAAGUGGGAGGUAAAUUCCUUCUAAAGCUAAAUAUUGACGAGAGACCGAUAGCGAACAAGUACUGUGAAGGAAAGAUGAAAAGCACUUUGAAAAGAGAGUGAAAAAGUACGUGAAAUUGUUAAAAGGGAAGGGUAUUGAAUCAGACGUGGUGCUGUUGUUCAACUUUGUUUCGGCAUGGUGUACUCAGCAGUACUAGGCCAAGGUGGGGUGUUUGGGAGUGAAAAAGGAAUAGGAACGUAGCUCUUCGGAGUGUUAUAAUCUAUUUUCAUAGCUCCUCAGGCGCCUCAGGACUGCGCUUCGGCAAGGACUUUGGCAUAAUGAUUCUAUACCGCCCGUCUUG